Molecule: long non-coding RNA, 1666 nt
Filed under: Homo sapiens (human)
Lineage: Eukaryota; Metazoa; Chordata; Mammalia; Primates; Hominidae
Description: HSALNT0307901
Source: RNAcentral
GGAAGCCAACGCCCCACUGCACUCUAGCUUGGGCGACAAAGCGAGACUCUUGUCUCAAAAAAAAAGUUGCAUCCUAAAGUUGAUUUACUCCAGCAUUCGUUAAAGUGGUGUCAGGGAGUGUUUUAUACUCCCUAACUACCUAUGUUUAGUUGACCCAAAUAACUCUUUAGGGCCCAUUUCUCAUGGCAGGCAGUAUAAUGGUGGUUAAGAACAGGAGCUCUGGGAUUAGAAUCUCAACAGUAACUACAAAUUUAAAUUCGCUGUGAACAUUAAAUGAGAUUAGCCAAGAAAAGUGAAGACAACUGGAAAAGCAUUGCAGUGACCUAAGGCAAAACAAACAAUCUAAUAUAUAUGUCAUUGGAGUCCCAGAUAAACAAUGGAAAACUGGGAAAGAAAAUAAAAUGUGAAGAAAUUAGGGUUGAUAAUCAGCAAAUUUGGAGAAAUACAACUUACAGAUGCAAGAAGGUCAGCAAACCUCCAAAGAGAAUAAAUGCAAAGAAAUUUACAGGUAGGUAUAUUAGAUAUAUUUAUAUCUAAUAUACAGGUAGGUAUAUUAGAUAAAUUUACAGGUAGGUAUAAUAGGCUGAAAACCAAAGAUUAAGAUAAAAUCCUGAAAAUAAAGAGGAAAAAAACAGUACAAAUAGGAAACCGCAAAAAUAAUGGAUAUUGUAAAGAGCAAUGCAGAGCCAGAUGACAGUGAAAUCUUUUUUUUUUUUUUUGAGACAGAGUCUCUCUGUCUCCCAGGCUGGAGUGCAGUGGCACGAUUUCAGCUCACUGCAACCUCUGCCUCCCAGGUUCUAAGCGAUUUUCCUGCCUCAGCCUCCAGAGUAGCUGGGAUUAGAGGGGUGCACCACCACCCCUGGCUAAUUUUGUAUUUUUAGUAGAGAUGGGGUUUCGCCAUGUUGGCCAGGCUGGUCUCAAACUUCUGACUUCAGGUGAUCCACCUGCCUUGGCCUCCCAAAGUGCUGGGAUUACAGGCAUGAGCCACUGCGCCUGGCCAACAGUGAAAUCUUUUCAGUGGCAAAAGAACCCAGAAUUUGGCUAUAUCAUUAAAAAAAAAAAAAAAGUCCUUCAAAAAUGAAGAUGAAAUAGAUGUUUUCAGAUUAAGAUGAGAAUUAGUUGCCAGUAUAUGUGCACAAUUAAGGAAAGUGACACCAAAUACAAGUGAAAUUAUACUUACAGGGUUUUUACAUUAACUCCAAGUAGAUUAUAAGGAUGCAUAAUGUAAUCACCAAAGCAAAAACUAAUGGAAACUCAAUAAAGAAAUUAAAAUUAGAUACUGAAAUAUAUUCUUUUAACCCUAAAGGGCUCCUCUCCCCCCAAAAAGGAGGAACAAAAGAACAAAAUAGAGCUAGGACAAACAGAAAACAGGAAAAUGGCAGACCUAAACCCAACCAUAUCAAUUAUUAUAUUACAUGGACUAAAUAUUGCAAUUCAAAGGCAAAGAUUAUCAAACUGAAUUUAAAAAGUAACAACGAACUUUGUCUACACUUUAAAUGUAAAGACGAGGAUAGUCUAAAAGACUGAAAAAAAGAUAUACCAUGCAAAUAGUAAGCAUAAGAAGCCAGAGUUGCAACAGUAUAUACUCCUCCCUCAGUAACUGACAGAACUAGAGAUCCUCCUCCUCAAAAAAAAAAAAAAAAAAAAAAAAAAAAAAAAAAAAAAA